CUUUAUUUGUACUUUGCCAGUUUUUGCAUUACUGAUGUGUUCCUGUCCCAGAAUCCAGCUCAAGCUAUCACAGUGCAUUUAAUCCUCAUGCCUGCAUCGUCUCCCCGGGUCUGUGACAGCUGCUCGGACUUUGCUUUCAUGGCCUUCAGGAGUACUGGGCAGGGCGGGCUGUUGGGGGUCUAUUAGAUACAUGGAUGACGAUCGGACAAUUUAAGCCGAUUCCUCAGAUCAUAAUGGAGCUGCCCCCUGAUGCGAAGCAAAAGCUGUAUAAUGAAGCCACCGCCAUCCUCAGGGACCUGAAGUGGAAGGACACUGUGGAGCUGACCAAGCAGGUCAUGGACAAUGAGUUUGUGAAGAAGCAGCUGCUGGUGACUCUGAUAACAACAGCCUGGAGCAAAACUUAGAAGACUCAGGAUGGUACAAAUGGAAAAGCAAGGCUUCCUCCAGCAUGAAUUCUGCACCAGGACCCUCACCAGAGGCAGCCUUAACGUGGUUUUUAAAUAGUCUUUGAAAAACAUUUCCAUUUGCCAGCAUUUAUUGAUGAAAGCUUAGAACAAUCGAGUAAUGGAUAAUGAAACUACUACAAAUGUUACCACCUAGGAAGUCUUUACACAUUCAGUAUGUAUCCUGUAAACCUUCUAAUGCUAUGUAUGCACAUUUCCAGCAUAUUUACAUUCUUCCUAUUUAGACCUCUUUGAAUGCUUUUACCAAUUAAAAUUAAAAAAAUAUUUGUGAUUUAAUUUAAAA
Long non-coding RNA from Ailuropoda melanoleuca (giant panda), 747 nucleotides. RefSeq lists it as uncharacterized. Lineage: Eukaryota; Metazoa; Chordata; Mammalia; Carnivora; Ursidae. The record is from RefSeq and is a predicted model, not a curated record. The transcript is spliced from 3 exons.